CUACGGGUGGCUGCAGUGAGGAAUAUUGCACAAUGGGGGGAACCCUGAUGCAGCAACGCCGCGUGGAGGAUGACGCAUUUCGGUGUGUAAACUCCUUUUAUAUGUCAAGAAAAUGACGGUAGCAUAUGAAUAAGCACCGGCUAACUCCGUGCCAGCAGCCGCGGUAAUACGGAGGGUGCAAGCGUUACUCGGAAUCACUGGGCGUAAAGGACGCGUAGGCGGGUUGGAAAGUCAGGUGUGAAAUCCUACAGCUUAACUGUAGAACUGCACUUGAAACUUCUAAUCUAGAGUAUGGGAGGGGGAGAUGGAAUUAGUGGUGUAGGGGUAAAAUCCGUAGAUAUCACUAGGAAUACCUAAAGCGAAGGCGAUCUCCUGGAACAUUACUGACGCUAAGGCGUGAAAGCGUGGGGAGCAAACAGGAUUAGAUACCCCAGUAGUC
Molecule: ribosomal RNA, 439 nt
Filed under: uncultured bacterium
Lineage: Bacteria
Description: partial 16S ribosomal RNA
Rfam family: Bacterial small subunit ribosomal RNA
Source: RNAcentral